Molecule: ribosomal RNA, 971 nt
Filed under: uncultured bacterium
Lineage: Bacteria
Description: bacterial SSU rRNA
Rfam family: Bacterial small subunit ribosomal RNA
Source: RNAcentral
AGAGUUUGAUCAUGGCUCAGGAUUAACGCUAGCGGCAGGCCUAAUACAUGCAAGUCGAACGGGAUUCAAGGUAGCAAUAUUUUGAUGAGAGUGGCGCACGGGUGAGUAACACGUAUGCAAUUUGCCUUUAACUGGGGAAUAGCCCUCCGAAAGGAGGAUUAAUACCGCAUAACAUUUCAGAAUGGCAUCAUUUUGAAAUUAAACCUCCGGGGGUUAAAGAUAAGCAUGCAUCCGAUUAGGUAGUUGGUGUGGUAACGGCACACCAAGCCAACGAUCGGUAGGGGGUCUGAGAGGAUGAUCCCCCACACUGGUACUGAGACACGGACCAGACUCCUACGGGAGGCAGCAGUAAGGAAUAUUGGACAAUGGAGGCAACUCUGAUCCAGCCAUGCCGCGUGAAGGAAUAAGGCCCUAUGGGUUGUAAACUUCUUUUAGACGGGACAAAACCCCUUUACGUGUAAAGGGUUGAUGGUACUGUCAGAAUAAGCAUCGGCUAACUUCGUGCCAGCAGCCGCGGUAAUACGAAGGAUGCAAGCGUUAUCCGGAAUUAUUGGGUUUAAAGGGUGCGUAGGCGGACUGAUAAGUCAGUGGUGAAAGCCUGCAGCUUAACUGCAGAAUUGCCGUUGAUACUGUCAGUCUUGAGUACAGUUGAGGUAGGCGGAAUGUGUCAUGUAGCGGUGAAAUGCUUAGAUAUGACACAGAACACCGAUUGCGAAGGCAGCUUGCUAAGCUGUAACUGACGCCUGAGGCACGAAAGCGUGGGGAGCAAACAGGAUUAGAUACCCUGGUAGUCCACGCCCUAAACGAUGAUAACUCGCUGUUGGCGAUACACAGCCAGCGGCCAAGCGAAAGCAUUAAGUUAUCCACCCUGGGGAGUACGACCGCAAGGUUGAAACCUCAAAGGAAUUGACGGGGGCCCGCACAAGCGGAGGAGCAUGUGGUUUAAUUCGAUGAUACGCGAGGAACCUUAC